UUUUUCAUCAACUGCCCUAAAUUUGUUUAGAGGGGUAUUCCACUAAGCGAGCUCUACAAGUCAAGGCUGGGCAGUGGGUCCAUGAAUAAACUGCCUCACUCCUGCAGGUGUCUUUCCAUACUUCCCAUCGUUCAAGAACCAAAAGAUGGCUGCUGCCCAGAAGCAUGUGCUGCGUGUGUAUGUUGAACGAGACACCGCCCUGAAACUUACUCUACUUGAGCGACCAAAGUCAGUGGAGGAGCUGAAAGAAAUAAUUCAAGAGAGGUUCAAGCCAAGAC
Long non-coding RNA from Oreochromis aureus, 278 nucleotides. RefSeq lists it as uncharacterized. The transcript is spliced from 3 exons. Lineage: Eukaryota; Metazoa; Chordata; Actinopteri; Cichliformes; Cichlidae. The record is from RefSeq and is a predicted model, not a curated record.